This 440-nucleotide ribosomal RNA is filed under the name uncultured bacterium. RNAcentral's name for it is "partial 16S ribosomal RNA". It matches the Rfam family "Bacterial small subunit ribosomal RNA", at positions 338 to 795 of the family's 1533-position model. The record is from RNAcentral.
CCUACGGGAGGCAGCAGUAGGGAAUAUUGCUCAAUGGGGGAAACCCUGAAGCAGCAACGCCGCGUGGAGGAUGAAGGUUUUCGGAUUUUAAACUCCUUUUGUUAGAGAAGAUAAUGACGGUAUCUAACGAAUAAGCACCGGCUAACUCCGUGCCAGCAGCCGCGGUAAUACGGAGGGUGCAAGCGUUACUCGGAAUCACUGGGCGUAAAGAGCGCGUAGGCGGGAUAGCAAGUCAGAUGUGAAAUCCUAUGGCUUAACCAUAGAACUGCAUUUCAAACUGUUAGUCUAGAGUAUGGGAGAGGUAGGUGGAAUUCGUGGCGUAGGGGUAAAAUCCGUAGAGAUCAAGAGGAAUACUCAUUGCGAAGGCGACCUGCUAGAACAUAACUGACGCUGAGGCGCGAAAGCGUGGGGAGCAAACAGGAUUAGAUACCCUUGUAGUC